CGUGCGGCCGUCCACAUGGCCGCACCGCCCAGACACGGGUCUCCCGCGCGCGCCACCCACCACCGAUCGAGCUCAGCAGUGAGCACGCACGACCUGGCGCUUUAACUCUCGCUCUCUAUCGUCGUCCCUGCCCGGCACACGUAACGUAAUUCGUUCCCUGGCUGCGGCGUGUCUGGCAGGUAGCUAAGCCAAGCUAGGUGUGACUGUGUGAGUGACGGUUGACGUGAGGAUGGCAACCGGCGGCGGCAAGGCGGCGGCGCUGCUGCUCGGGCUGCUCCUGCUGCUGUGCGUGCUCCGGCAUGGGGCGGCGCAGCGGUACAACGCCAUCUGGAGCUUUGGCGACUCCAUCUCCGACACCGGCAACCUCUGCGUGGGCGGGUGCCCCUCCUGGCUCACCACAGGGCAGUCGCCCUACGGCGAGACCUUCUUCGGCCGCCCUACGGGCAGGUGCUCCGACGGCCGCGUCAUCAUCGACUUCCUGGCCGAGCACUUUGGGCUUCCUUUGCCGCCGGCGUCCAAGGCCGGCGGCGACUUCAAGAAGGGCGCGAACAUGGCCAUCAUCGGCGCCACCACCAUGAGCUUCGACUUCUUCAACUCCAUCGGCCUGAGCGACAAGAUCUGGAACAACGGCCCACUCGACACCCAAAUCCAGUGGUUCCGGCAGCUGCUGCCCUCCGUGUGCGGGAACGACUGCAAGAGCUACCUGUCCAAGUCGCUGUUCGUGGUGGGCGAGUUCGGCGGCAACGACUACAACGCGGCGCUCUUCGCCGGGCGGUCCAUGGCGGAGGUGAGGGGGUACGUGCCCCGGGUCGUCAGCAAGCUCGUCCGCGGCCUGGAGACGAUCGUCAGGAGCGGCGCCGUCGACGUGGUGGUGCCGGGGGUCCUGCCCAUCGGCUGCUUCCCCAUCUACCUCACCCUCUACGGCACCUCCAACGCCGCCGACUAUGACCGCGACGGCUGCCUCCGGAGCUACAACGGCCUCUCCUACUACCACAACGCGCUGCUGAAGCGCAGCCUUGCCAGCCUGCAGCGGACGUACCCGCACGCCCGGAUCAUGUACGCCGACUUCUACACCCAGGUCACCCACAUGAUCCGGGCACCUCACAACUUCGGUGAGUAACCUUUCGCUUUUGUGUCCUUGCUAGAAUAUAUCCCAGUGUUGGCGUGCGGGAGUUGAAGUCUCAGUUAUCACGGAAUGUGUAGUGUAGUGUAGUGUAGUGUAGUAGGCAGCACUGGGAUGGAAAGGGAUAGAUCCAAAGCAUGGAUUUUGAUAGAUGUAGAUGUAAAGAGAGCUAUCUACGUGCAUGCAUAGUGAGCAUGUUUAAUUUUUUUUUCUCUUGGAUUCUUAGCCCACCAAUGACUCAUCCGGGUCAAUUAUGCCCUGGGGACCAUGCAUGAAUGACCGUUGUCCAAACAAUUUGGGAAUCAAUACCCUCCUAAUUGAUCCAGUUGGCAUGCGUAUUAUUUAUGCAUCAUACAACCAAUAAUUAUGAUGAAACAUGGAUGAAAGCCUGUCAUCGACACCGUGGUGGCAUGCAUGCAUACAUAUCAUCUUAUAAAGCACUGUGUAGUAUAUAUACUAGUCACAAAAGCCGCCACCUGCUGUAAUUGACAAAGAUACUCCCACAUGUAACAUAACAAUUCUUUCCAUGCAUGGACUGUUUUAUCUUAAAAAUGUUUUCAAGGCUCAUUACUGACUUAGUUCACGUGACUGGGAGCACGCUAGCUAGUGCGCAUUCCAAGGCGGUUUUCUUUAUGAACUGUAAUGUAAUCCAUCAGCCUAGCUAAUGAGGGCAGCCACAACGCAGCUACUACAAUCGUAUGCCUCGAGAAAAAAAUCACAUGCCAUGUAUUCCAAGAGACAGAAAUAAAGUUGUAUAGAGUUUGGUUUCAUCCACCUUCAACGCGUGUUAUUUGGGAGCUUCUGCAAAUUGUCAGCUGAAGCCUACGGUACCUCUGCAGGCAGCACUGACACACUGCGGGGCUGCUGUUUUGCGUGAUCUGUACAUAGCCUGUAUACGUGGACGUCGGGGCUACAAGACAGCGUGUAGCGAUGGGGAGGCCUGAUAGCGAGUGUGAUCAUCGACACUCUUUUGCAGGGCUCAAGUACGGGCUGAAGGUCUGCUGCGGCGCCGGUGGGCAGGGCAAGUACAACUACAACAACAAGGCGCGGUGUGGCAUGUCCGGGGCCAGUGCCUGCGCCGACCCGGGCAACUACCUCAUCUGGGACGGCAUCCACCUCACGGAGGCGGCCUACCGCUCCAUCGCCGAUGGCUGGCUCAAGGGCACCUACUGCAACCCUCCCAUUCAGCACUGAUGGAGCUAGCUAGCUAGCAGCAUUCAUGCGUGAGUUGAUCGUGUGUUGUUUGUUUAGGGCUAAUUGCCAUGUGCAUCAUCAUCCUCUAGGUUCGUAUACACAGUGAUGAGUAGUGAUGGGUUUGUUAUUUGGUUGUCAAUUAUUCAUGGGAGGUAGGUGGUUUCGGUGUGCUGGGGACAAUGAAUAAAUGUGUAAUGGACAGCUGUUUGCAAUUUUCUUAACGCAAAAAUACUGUAGGGGAGAUCCCCACAGUGAUUUAUAUUGAUUA
Sorghum bicolor (sorghum) is the source of this 2585-nucleotide RNA transcript. It is a transcript of the gene named GDSL esterase/lipase At5g45910-like, with no coding region annotated. The transcript has 3 exons. The record is from RefSeq and is a predicted model, not a curated record. NCBI's taxonomy places the organism in Eukaryota, Viridiplantae, Streptophyta, Magnoliopsida, Poales, Poaceae.